AUGGAGGGAAGAAAAUGAAAGAAAAAAUGAAAUGUGCGUUUACUUUAUAAAAGGAGUGUUUCUCCCACCAAAGGAACAUCCUUGUGCUUAAGUAUCGAAACAUACCUUUCAUGGGGAUAGUGAGGCAAGAAGAAGACAAGUCUCGCACCGUCGUUGCUUGGCUUCGGCUUUGGACAAAAUUCAAUUGAAACUUAAUUGUUUAAUGACUUUUUAAUCUAAAAAUCUGAGAUGAAAAUUUUCUCCAUGAGCAUGUGCUAACACACAUAGAAG
This 270-nucleotide long non-coding RNA is filed under the name Capsicum annuum. RNAcentral's name for it is "long non-coding RNA (CANN_LNC016216)". The record is from RNAcentral. Lineage: Eukaryota; Viridiplantae; Streptophyta; Magnoliopsida; Solanales; Solanaceae.